GGUCAAUAGUCUAACGACUGAACCAGCAACUUGGAAGAAUGUAUAACGAAUAAGUCGUAUAAAAUUCGAAAUAAAAAAAAGAUAAUGACAAAUUUUUAUUUUUAAGUCUUGACCAAAUUACGUGCCAGCAGUCGCGGUAACACGUAGAAGACUAGUGUUAUUCAUCUUUAAUGGGUUUAAAGGGUACCUAGACUGAAAAUAAAGCCUAAUUAGGAACUAAUUUUCUAGAGUUUUAUGUAAGAAUGGACGAAUUGCCAGAGGAGAGUCAAAAUUCGAUGAUACUGGUAGGACGGAUAUCGGCGAAGGCAACAUUCUAUGUAAAAACUGACGUUGAGGGACGAAGCCUUGGGGAGCAAUUAGGAUUCGAUACCCUAGUAGUCCUUGGAGAAAAUUAUGAAUGUCAUAGACUAGAUAAUAAUUUAGUUUAUAAAUGAAAAUGUAAGCAUUCCACCUCAUGAGUAAAGCGGCAACGCUCAAAUUGAAAUCAUUAGACCGUUUCUGAAACAAGUAGUGAAGUAUGUUAUUUAAUUCGAUGAUCCGCGAAUAACCUUACCACGUUUUGAAUAUUAUUUAAUUAUUACAAGUGCUGCACGGCUGUCUUCAGUUAAUGUCGUGAGAUUUUGGUUAGUUCCUUUAAUUAACGAAAACCCUUGUUUUAUUUGUUAAUAAAACAGUUCUCCGCUAUAUUGGAUAAGAUAAUAGGGAUCAAGACAAGUCAUCAUGGCCUUAAUAACGUGGGCUAUA
This 744-nucleotide ribosomal RNA is filed under the name Chaetothyriales sp. MCRE11. RNAcentral's name for it is "SSU rRNA". It matches the Rfam family "Bacterial small subunit ribosomal RNA", at positions 366 to 1218 of the family's 1533-position model. The record is from RNAcentral. Lineage: Eukaryota; Fungi; Ascomycota; Eurotiomycetes; Chaetothyriales.